UCGUUUAUCGAAAGCCGGAGCCCGGAAGAAGGCCCCUCCCUGGCCCCUGCCGGACCUUGCGGCCUGCGCAGCCCCCAAGUUCUCCCUUCCCGCUCGGUCCGAGAGUGAGAAGUCGCCUGUCGCGGCUCACCGACGGCCGAUCGGCCAGUGAUCGGUCACAGCCACAGAGCAGUGGAAGACGAAAGGGCUGUGGUAUCAGUUUUUUUUUUUCAAAAAUCAAAACACGUGGCAGAUUACAAAUGGGUGAAAAUGUGAUGGGCAGGUAGCAUGGGACGGUGGG
This 280-nucleotide long non-coding RNA is filed under the name Elaeis guineensis (African oil palm). RNAcentral's name for it is "long non-coding RNA (EGUI_LNC022431)". The record is from RNAcentral. Lineage: Eukaryota; Viridiplantae; Streptophyta; Magnoliopsida; Arecales; Arecaceae.